Molecule: long non-coding RNA, 400 nt
Filed under: Phoenix dactylifera (date palm)
Lineage: Eukaryota; Viridiplantae; Streptophyta; Magnoliopsida; Arecales; Arecaceae
Description: long non-coding RNA (PDAC_LNC021440)
Source: RNAcentral
AUACGAGUUUAGUCAAACUCUUCUAAACAACUUUCCUAUAUUUUCCUUUGGUUGUUUAUAUUGUGAUGGUGUUUGUCAAGGUCUACCAUACCGGCCCAUACCUUUGAGAUUUGGUUUGGUAUAUGAGCCGAAUCGGUCUGAACCAAGCAAAACUGCUCCAUACUGCCUAGCAUCGACCGUACCGCCCAAUUUUGGGUGGUAGCAUGGGUGGGAGUGAGAAAAGUAUUGGAAGCAUGUUCCGGUUAGGGUGCAUACCGUUCCGUACCGACCAUAUUGUAUUGAACUAGUAAUAUACCAAUAUGGUUCUCAGCAUGGUCUGCCGUACCGAUCCGUACCGGUCCGGCCUGGGAUCGGUACCGGAUCAGCGUGGAAUCCGGUACCGGUAGUUUAUGGUUGAAAA